Long non-coding RNA from Gadus morhua (Atlantic cod), 608 nucleotides. RefSeq lists it as uncharacterized. NCBI's taxonomy places the organism in Eukaryota, Metazoa, Chordata, Actinopteri, Gadiformes, Gadidae. The record is from RefSeq and is a predicted model, not a curated record. The transcript is spliced from 3 exons.
UCACAGCCAAAAUCUGGGUUAGAUGUUUUAAUUUCAUCUCAUACAGGUGCACUGGAUGCUGCUGCUGUAAACAUACAGCAAUUGGAAGAAACAGUCAAGGAGCUGAUGAGAGCUGUCACAGCUGAAAGUGGUUCAAGUGCAUUUUCACAGAUUCUGUGUCUCAGACGCGGACAUCCUUUUUUACACCAGAUUCACCUCAAGAGAUGUUUUUUGUGACUUCUGGGAGGUUAUUCAACCAUCUGCCUCCAUGUUGGUUUAUUGGUCGAAAGCUCAGAAAAAGAAACAAACAUUUGAACCCAUUUCUCCCAGUCCAACGUGUAGACUGCAACUGGUUGAGUUUUUUCUCUUCUGCUGCCGGGUUGCUGCAGGCCUGCAAGAGAAGGUGCUGGCUGACAUGUUUCAGUGCUGUGACUUUUGUGUCAAGUCUCUUCACCGGCUCCAUCUCCGACCCAGAGCUGACUGAACGAAAUGGACUGCUGGAUUUACUGGAGCCAGGAGAUGGCUGCAUGGCAGACAAGGGUUUCACCAUCGAGAAGCCACUAGCUGAUCGUGGGGCAACGCUGAUUAUACCACCCUUCAAGAUGACAGUUCACUGAAGAGGAUGCUCU